RNAcentral lists this transfer RNA (71 nucleotides) under Loxodonta africana (African savanna elephant). It matches the Rfam family "tRNA". From Rfam's summary of the family: Transfer RNA (tRNA) molecules are approximately 80 nucleotides in length. The record is from Rfam by way of RNAcentral. Lineage: Eukaryota; Metazoa; Chordata; Mammalia; Proboscidea; Elephantidae.
GCAGUGGUGGUUGAGCAGUAGAAUUCUUGCCCUCCAUGUAGGAGACCCAGGUUCAGUUCCUGGCCAGUGCA